CAGAGUUGUAAAACUCCCAAACCCAUGUGAACAUACCUCUGUUGCCUCGGUGGCUCGCGGGGCCAGCUACCCUGUAGCUACCCUGUACACCACCGACGGACCACUAAACUCUGUUUAUUAUACAUCUCUGAGUACAACUAUAAAUAAGUUA
RNAcentral lists this unclassified non-coding RNA (151 nucleotides) under uncultured Xylariales. Its description in RNAcentral is "sequence contains ITS1". Lineage: Eukaryota; Fungi; Ascomycota; Sordariomycetes; Xylariales. The record is from RNAcentral.